This 253-nucleotide ribosomal RNA is filed under the name uncultured bacterium. Its description in RNAcentral is "partial 16S ribosomal RNA". It matches the Rfam family "Bacterial small subunit ribosomal RNA", at positions 524 to 776 of the family's 1533-position model. The record is from RNAcentral.
UACAGAGGGUGCGAGCGUUGUUCGGAAUUAUUGGGCGUAAAGGGCGCGUAGGCGGUGCGGUAAGUCACCUGUGAAAUCUCCUGGCUCAACUGGGAGCUUGCAGGCGAAACUGCCGUGCUGGAGUGUGGGAGAGGUGCGUGGAAUUCCCGGUGUAGCGGUGAAAUGCGCAGAUAUCGGGAGGAACACCGGUGGCGAAGGCGGUUCUCUGGGCCUGACCUGACGCUGAGGAGCGAAAGCGUGGGGAGCGAACAGG